RNAcentral lists this ribosomal RNA (253 nucleotides) under uncultured bacterium. Its description in RNAcentral is "partial 16S ribosomal RNA". It matches the Rfam family "Bacterial small subunit ribosomal RNA", at positions 524 to 776 of the family's 1533-position model. The record is from RNAcentral.
CACGUAGGGUGCGAGCGUUGUCCGGAAUUAUUGGGCGUAAAGAGCUCGUAGGCGGUCCGUCACGUCGGAUGUGAAAUUCCAGGGCUCAACCCUGGACCUGCAUUCGAUACGGGCGGACUAGAGUUCGGUAGGGGAGACUGGAAUUCCUGGUGUAGCGGUGAAAUGCGCAGAUAUCAGGAGGAACACCUGUGGCGAAAGCGGCUCACUGGACCACAACUGACGCUGAGGCGCGAAAGCUAGGGGAGCAAACAGG